GGGGGAAAUCUGCUGAGAAUAAGGGGAUAAGAGCUGGAGCUCGAUGUUUCCAGCAGAGUGAGGGACAUGGUGUAAUGUCUGUUUAUUUAAUGUCUGAAGUGAGUUACUUCCUGUUGUCACUUCUGCUAUAGCAGCUAUAAACACUCGUAACUCUCAUUCUGACUCUCUAACACUCGCUCUGACUCUCGCUCUGACUCUCACUCUGACUCUCUCUGACUCUCACUCUAACUCUCACUCUGACUCUCUAACACUCGCUCUGACUCUCACUCUGACUCUCACUCUGACUCUCGCUCUGACUCUCACUCUGACUCUCUCUGACUCUCACUCUAACUCUCACUCUGACUCUCUAACACUCGCUCUGACUCUCACUCUGACUCUCACUCUGACUCUCGCUCUGACUCUCACUCUGACUCUCUCUGACUCUCACUCUAACUCUCAUUCUGACUCUCUAACACUCGCUCUGACUCUCACUCUGACUCUCACUCUGACUCUCACUCUAACUCUCACUCUGACUCUCUAACACUCGCUCUGACUCUCACUCUGACUCUCACUCUGACUCUCACUCUGACUCUCGCUCUGACUCUCACUCUGACUCUCUCUGACUCUCACUCUGACUCUCUCUGACUCUCACUCUAACUCUCACUCUAACUCUCACUCUGACUCUCUAACACUCGCUCUGACUCUCACUCUGACUCUCGCUCUGACUCUGACUCUCACUCUGACUCUCUCUGACUCUCACUCUAACUCUCAUUCUGACUCUCUAACACUCGCUCUGACUCUCACUCUGACUCUCACUCUGACUCUCUCUGACUCUCACUCUAACUCUCACUCUGACUCUCUAACACUCGCUCUGACUCUCACUCUGACUCUCUCUGACUCUCACUCUAACUCUCACUCUGACUCCCUAACACUCGCUCUGACUCUCACUCUGAUUCUAACUCUUGCUCUGACUCUUGCUCUGACUCUCUCACUCUAACUCUCUCUCUAACUCCCACUCUAACUCUCACUCUGACUCUCACUCUAACUCUCGCUCUAACUCUCGCUCUAACUCUCACUCUGACUCUCUCUAACUCUCACUCUGACUCUCACUCUAACUCUUUCUCUAACUCUCACUCUAACUCUCACUCUGACUCUCACUCUGACUCUAACUCUUGCUCUGACUCUUGCUCUGACUCUCGCUCUGACUAACUCUCACUUUGACUCUCACUCCGACUCUCUCUCUAACUCUCGCUCUGACUCUCUCUCUCACUCUGACUCUUAUUCUGACUCUCGCUCUGACUUUCGCUCUGACUCUCGCUCUGACUCUCUCUCACUCUGACUCUCAUUCUGACUCUCGCUCUGACUCUUGCUCUGACUAUCUCUCUAACUCUCGCUCUGACUCUCUCACUCUAACUCACUCUAACACUCGCUCUGACUCUCUCUCUCUGACUCUCACUCUGACUCUCGCUCUGACUCUCUCGCACUCACUCUGACUCUAACUCUCUCUCUAACUCUCACUCUAACUCACUAACACUCGCUCUGACUCUCUCACUCUAACUCUAACACUCUCUCUGACUCUCGCUCUGACUCUCUCGCACUAACUCUCGCUCUGACUCUCUCACUCUGACUCUGACUCUCACUCUGACUCUCACUCUAACUCUCGCUCUGACUCUCUCACUCUAACUCUUGCUCUGACUCUCACUCUAACUCUUGCUCUGACUCUCUCACUCUAACUCUCGCUCUGACUCUCUAACUCUCACUCUGACACUCACUCUAACUCUUGCUCUGACUCUCUCUCUCUAACUCUCGCUCUGACUCUCUCACUCUAACACUCACUCUGACUCUCACUCUAACACUGACACUGGAGACUCCUUACACACACACACACACACACACUGAUACACAGCGCUGACACUGGAGACUCCUUACACACACACACACACACCUCUCCUACACACCAGUGAUUGCACAUGUUCUUUCCUCUGUGUAUCUCGUCAGUGGAGCGUCUCUGUUCUACACGUCCUUGUGAAUCUAUUUCGUUUGUCUUUUAUCUCAGCUUGCCGUCAGAAUCCUGCGGUUUCAGUCUCUCUGAUUCUCUAGAAAGAUCUGUGAUGUAACAGGAGGAACAUUUUGCUUGGAUGAUGAAGAACUUGUGGAAAAUGCGUUUUGGGACUCGUCCAGACGGAGAAGUAUGUUUCUAGGACGAGUGAUGAUGGAUGAGCGAGUCGAGGCGGCCGCCUUCUGCCUCCAGAUUCCUGAUUCAGAAUGAAAGGCUGUGGAUCUGAAAUGAUUCAGGAUGGAAUGAGUCAGGAUCCAUCUUCGGCAGAGUUGAAGAGUAGCUUCGGAGUAGCAGUGAGCUUCAGGGUAAACCUGACUGCCUCCACACUACUGACAGGAUGAAGAGAAUUUCCUUUUCUCAGACAUUUCAUCUCUGGGUUUUAAUUGGAUUCUCUCCUUAAUUAUAACCCGCAGCAACACGAGAGGAGUUUCUGAUCAAGAAAC
This is a long non-coding RNA of Hemibagrus wyckioides, 2481 nucleotides long. RefSeq lists it as uncharacterized. The record is from RefSeq and is a predicted model, not a curated record. NCBI's taxonomy places the organism in Eukaryota, Metazoa, Chordata, Actinopteri, Siluriformes, Bagridae. The transcript has 4 exons.